Molecule: ribosomal RNA, 375 nt
Filed under: uncultured bacterium
Lineage: Bacteria
Description: bacterial SSU rRNA
Rfam family: Bacterial small subunit ribosomal RNA
Source: RNAcentral
UCUUGCACAAUGGAGGAAACUCCGAUGCAGCGACGCCGCGUGAGUGAUGAAGCCCUUCGCGGUGUAAAGCACUUUCGACAGGAACGAUAAUGACGGUACCUGAAGAAGAAGCUGCGGCUAACUACGUGCCAGCAGCCGCGGUAAUACGUAGGCAGCAAGCGUUGUUCGGAAUUACUGGGCGUAAAGAGUGUGUAGGCGGUGCUCUAAGUUUGGUGUGAAAUCUCCCGGCUCAACCGGGAGGCUGCAUCGAAUACUGGAAUGCUAGAGGAUUGGAGAGGUAAGCGGAAUUCCUGGUGUAGCGGUGAAAUGCGUAGAUAUCAGGAGGAACCCCUGGGGUGUAGGCAGCCCCCUGACUAUUACUGACGCUCAACACGA